RNAcentral lists this transfer RNA (71 nucleotides) under Cordylochernes scorpioides. RNAcentral describes it as "tRNA-Gly". It matches the Rfam family "tRNA". Rfam says of the family: Transfer RNA (tRNA) molecules are approximately 80 nucleotides in length. Their secondary structure includes four short double-helical elements and three loops (D, anti-codon, and T loops). The record is from RNAcentral. Lineage: Eukaryota; Metazoa; Arthropoda; Arachnida; Pseudoscorpiones; Chernetidae.
CCAUCGGUGGUUCAGUGGUAGAAUACUCGCCUGCCACGCGGGCGGCCCGGGUUCGAUUCCCGGUCGAUGCA